Molecule: ribosomal RNA, 279 nt
Filed under: uncultured bacterium
Lineage: Bacteria
Description: partial 16S ribosomal RNA
Rfam family: Bacterial small subunit ribosomal RNA
Source: RNAcentral
UGCCAUCAGCCGCGGUAAUACGUAGGGGGCAAGCGUUGUCCGGAUUUACUGGGUGUAAAGGGCGCGCAGGCGGAUUUGUCAGUCAGGGGUGAAAUCCUACAGCUUAACUGUAGAACUGCCUUUGAUACUGCAAAUCUUGAGUUCGGAAGGGAGAGGCGGAAUUCCAGGUGUAGUGGUGAAAUACGUAGAUAUCUGGAAGAACACCAGAGGCGAAGGCAUCUCUCUGGGCCGAUAUUGACGCUGAGUCGCGAAGGCGUGGGUAGCGAACGGGAUUAGAUA